GAGAAUAGGAACAAUAAGGAAAUCACUUCGGCGUCGUGCACUCGUCAUCUAGAUCUUAUAUAGAUGUAGAAAAUAUGAAGGCUACAACUUAGACCCAAAUCGCUUAGCAGUUGUAAAAGGGUUGAGCGGUUUGGAGGCAGAGAAGCAUGUAGGAGAAAGCCCUAAACCGCCCAACGGUUGAAAAGGGGCUAAGCGAUUUAGGGUCCGAAAGGCAAAAUUUUUGGAGCUCCCAGGCGCUCAACCAUUGGACCAAGGGCUCAACCACUACAAUUUGUUUUAUUUUGGCCAACAUUUAAAAAAAAAAGGAAAAAAAAGAAAGGGAGGAAGAAAAAUAGAGCACAAACAGAGCAGAACUUGAAAAAGGACUUGGAACUAGUUGGGAAGAGGGGUUAUUUAGCUUUUCCUUUAUUCUUUUUCUCAUCUUCCAUGUACCUUGGAUUGAUUCCUAUCACUAGGAGGGGCUAAUAUUUUCUUUUUGUUGAGAUUAAAUGUAGCCAUCAAACUCUCAUGUAUUCUUUUUAAUUUUCAUAUAUAUGAUGUUCUAUUAUUCAGUA
This is a non-coding RNA of Cajanus cajan (pigeon pea), 554 nucleotides long. The record is from RefSeq and is a predicted model, not a curated record. Lineage: Eukaryota; Viridiplantae; Streptophyta; Magnoliopsida; Fabales; Fabaceae.